This is a non-coding RNA of Megalopta genalis, 1613 nucleotides long. Lineage: Eukaryota; Metazoa; Arthropoda; Insecta; Hymenoptera; Halictidae. The record is from RefSeq and is a predicted model, not a curated record.
GAUAUUCCGAUUACUGGGUGUCAAGAUUGACAUAAUCCAUUCUCUUUUGAACGUACAUACAAAGCUACGAUUCCUAGGAUCAAGAUAUUCUCAUUAUAGCACUUUGCAAAUUAGGUAUAAGUACUUUACGUUUGAACCGGCGCAUCGAGAACUGCGCAGUAUAGGUUAAGAUGCGUAGAUCGGUACAAAUAUGCGCCGCAUACUGUGUUAAUCAACAAUAUUCGAGGAUAGAUAACAGUGACAGUGUAUAUCGAUUUUUGUUAUCAAAGUAAUAAUUGCUUUAUCUAAGCUACGAUUCCUAGGAUCAAGAUAUUCUCACUAUAGCACUUUGCAAAUUAAGUAUAAGUACUCUACGUUUGAACCGGCGCGUCAAGAACUGCGCAGUAUAGGUUAAGAUGCGUAUAUCGGUAAAACUAUGCGCCGCAUACUGUGUUAACCAACAAUACUCGAGGAUAGAUAACAGUGACAGUAUAUAUCGAUUGUUUUUAAGUAACGAUUGCUUUAUCUAAAAGCAACGCUAAAACGAAUUAUUAUAUUAUUAAUUAGCAAAAUGCCUAAACUUACCGAGCUCGAAACUCGAUCACUCUCUUCUUUGCCUAUUUUCACUUCGCCCCGAGGUCCUGCGAUGCUCGAUCGUCUUUGAUCGUUCGAACAGGUUAGAAUCGUAGCGGCGCAAGUCGCAUUUUUCUCGUUAUGAGAAACGUUAACGUUUACUAACACGUGUAUCCGCGUAUAGUUUACUGACACGCGUAGUAGUUCUUCGUGCUCUCGAACUCGUAUGAAACUCGUAUUCGUUCGCGGAUGUUUUCUGUCGUAGAAAUCGCGCGCAACGUCUCGACGAAAGUGUCUCCGGCAGUGUCAAGUGGAGCGACUCGACGAUUAAGGCCCGAGGAAAUUUCGGAAUCGGCGGGCUUAAGAGAUCCGGAUCCGAGCGUUCAGAGGCCGCUGAAGAUCGAAACGAGUUCAAGAGACGCGCCCGGCCGGUUUUCUUCGGCGAUGAAAUCGGGGCCAACGGUGUGGUCGAACCGUCAUUCGACCAGGAUCGCCAUACAACUGUCACAAGAUCGCGACGAAAACUGUUGCACGAUGUUACAACGACCUGUGUCGGAUUACCCAGACGCGCUUGCAUUCUUUCGGCACCGCGCGAUGCUAAGUUUCAUGCGAACGCGUUGGAAGACAAGUUGGUCCACUGAAUCACGUAGUACACGCGCUAUUAUUCACGGCGGAGUCCAACAACGGAUACAGGGUGGCGCUGCUCAAAUAUCAUUUCAAACGUGUAAACGCGACUCCACCGUGCGUCGAAAUAGAAUCGUACGAACGGAGCAUCCGUCGAGGAUUCUUUCCAAAAGCCCGAGGCAAGACGGGGAUUCAGUAAAUUCUUCCUAAUUGAAGCUCGGACUGUGCACGAAUGUGGACAAUUUGGGAAGAGGAGAGCUGCAUAAUUGCAACUGCGCAUACUGUACGAUCGUCGCCUUUAUCGUUUGCUAUGCUGAAUUAUGAAUCGAUCAGAUGCCUUAUCGUAACCGUUAUCCACUUUCACAAGAGGAACAGCAUGAUACACUAAAUUCUCCCUAAUUCAUGCUCACAUUGUACACAAAAAUGGACAAUUUAGG